UUAAAUUUUAUAUUAUAAUUAAUAAAAUCCAUCAUUAAAUUAAAUUAAAAGUUUUUUUAUGAUUAAUAAAAUCUAUUGUUAAUCAAUCAUUUUAUUAAUUUAAAAAUUAGAUAGUUUUGAUUAGAGGGUCACAAAACCUAAUUUCUACAUCUUUUGUCCUUCUGUUCCUUCUUAUUUUUGAACUUGAAGUGGACUCUCUCUCCCCUUCUCUCUCUCUCUCUCUCUCUCUCUCUCUCUCUCUCUCUCUCUGUGAUAGUCGUAGCCGUCACUGCUUCCUAUAUCUCUCUCUUGUUCACUCCCUAAGCCUUUCCUUUUUCUUUGUGAAACCGAGCCCCUCUAAGAAGGUUGAGUUGCUUCGUCUCAUUCAAAAGCCUAACCAGGGUGAACUUCAAUAUUGAGCUGUUUUAACAAAGAGGAUUGAACCCAAAGGAUUUCAUUUUCCUCUCUAGAUUGUCCUUCUGCAGGUUUGAAUUUCAAUUUCCUCUCUAGAUUGUGCUAUUUCGAUUGACAUUUUAAAGAAAUAUUUGAUCAAAUCUCACUAAUUUUGAAUCCUAACUUUAGAGCAGGCCGUAUUUUGUGCUUGUUUGCUUGCUUUUGUUCAAUGAAAUUUUGAGUUUGUGGUU
Hevea brasiliensis (rubber tree) is the source of this 623-nucleotide long non-coding RNA. RefSeq lists it as uncharacterized. The record is from RefSeq and is a predicted model, not a curated record. The transcript has 2 exons. Lineage: Eukaryota; Viridiplantae; Streptophyta; Magnoliopsida; Malpighiales; Euphorbiaceae.